GUCUAAGUAUAUACUGUUACUGUAUUAAGGCAAAAUCUCAAAUGGCUCAGUAAUUCUGUUAUAAUUCCUUGGAUCAUGCCUUUCUACUGGGAUAACUGUGGCAAUUCUAGAGUUAAUACAUGCAGCAGAGCUCUGACCCUCUGGGGAUGACAUUUGACCAAAAUCAAUCAGACCUCAUGUCCAUAUUUUGUGGUGACUCUGUAUAACUUUGGGCUGAUUUCAUGGGCUCUUUCUGCAAUGUAUCUUUCAAGUGUCUACUUUAUCAACUGUCAGUGGUAGGUUAUGCACCUACUGUGGUCAUAACAGGUGAAUUUGCAAAGGAAUAACAGGCUGAG
Molecule: non-coding RNA, 335 nt
Filed under: Stegodyphus mimosarum
Lineage: Eukaryota; Metazoa; Arthropoda; Arachnida; Araneae; Eresidae
Description: Eukaryotic small subunit ribosomal RNA
Rfam family: Eukaryotic small subunit ribosomal RNA
Source: Rfam by way of RNAcentral